This 468-nucleotide ribosomal RNA is filed under the name Lepiota kuehneriana. RNAcentral's name for it is "SSU rRNA". It matches the Rfam family "Bacterial small subunit ribosomal RNA", at positions 406 to 883 of the family's 1533-position model. The record is from RNAcentral. Lineage: Eukaryota; Fungi; Basidiomycota; Agaricomycetes; Agaricales; Agaricaceae.
UCUUAAUCAUUGAAUCAAUGGUUCUUGAGAUAACGUAAGGGAUAAAAAUGAUAGUACCUUACUAUAAGUGUUGUCCAACAAUACUGGUGCCAGAAGACUCGGUAACGCCAGAAACGCAAACGUUAGUCGUCCUAAUCAGGCGUAAAGGGUAAGUAGGCUGCUUUGAAAGUUGUUAAUUAGAAAGCUCUUUAAAAAUUUUUUAAAGGUAAUUAAUAAUGAAUUAAAGCUAGAAUCAAAUAGGGGAUAAGCCAAAUAAUAUUUAGUGUAAGGCUAAUAUCUUUAGAUACUAAAUGGAAUACUAAGGUGAAAACUUUUAUCUACUAAUGAUUGACGCUGAGGAACGAAGGUGAGAAUAGAAAACAGGAUUAGAGACCCAGGUAUCUCUCACUGUCAACGAUGAAUGGUAGUUGUUAGUUAAACUUAACUAGUAACGAUGUUAACGCGUUAACCAUUCCGCCUUGCGAGUAC